UGGGGAAUUUUGGACAAUGGACGCAAGUCUGAUCCAGCCAUGCCGCGUGCGGGAAGAAGGCCUUCGGGUUGUAAACCGCUUUUGUCAGGGAAGAAACGAGUUUCUCUAAUACAGAGACUUAAUGACGGUACCUGAAGAAUAAGCACCGGCUAACUACGUGCCAGCAGCCGCGGUAAUACGUAGGGUGCAAGCGUUAAUCGGAAUUACUGGGCGUAAAGCGUGCGCAGGCGGUUAUGUAAGACAGAUGUGAAAUCCCCGGGCUCAACCUGGGACCUGCAUUUGUAACUGCAUAGCUAGAGUACGGCAGAGGGGGAUGGAAUUCCGCGUGUAGCAGUGAAAUGCGUAGAUAUGCGGAGGAACACCGAUGGCGAAGGCAAUCCCCUGGGCCUGUACUGACGCUCAUGCACGAAAGCGUGGGGAGCAAACA
Molecule: ribosomal RNA, 427 nt
Filed under: uncultured bacterium
Lineage: Bacteria
Description: bacterial SSU rRNA
Rfam family: Bacterial small subunit ribosomal RNA
Source: RNAcentral